This 81-nucleotide transfer RNA is filed under the name Parascedosporium putredinis. It matches the Rfam family "tRNA". From Rfam's summary of the family: Transfer RNA (tRNA) molecules are approximately 80 nucleotides in length. Their secondary structure includes four short double-helical elements and three loops (D, anti-codon, and T loops). Further hydrogen bonds mediate the characteristic L-shaped molecular structure. tRNAs have two regions of fundamental functional importance: the anti-codon, which is responsible for specific mRNA codon recognition, and the 3' end, to which the tRNAs corresponding amino acid is attached (by aminoacyl-tRNA synthetases). tRNAs cope with the degeneracy of the genetic code in two manners: having more than one tRNA (with a specific anti-codon) for a particular amino acid; and 'wobble' base-pairing, i.e. permitting non-standard base-pairing at the 3rd anti-codon position. The record is from Rfam by way of RNAcentral. Lineage: Eukaryota; Fungi; Ascomycota; Sordariomycetes; Microascales; Microascaceae.
GCUCAGGUGGUUCAGGGGUAGAAUAUUUGCCUUCCAUCAGCGGGGUAGCAAAUGAUCCGAGUUCGAGUCUCGGCCUGAGCA